This 329-nucleotide unclassified non-coding RNA is filed under the name air metagenome. Its description in RNAcentral is "partial contains small subunit ribosomal RNA, internal transcribed spacer 1, and 5.8S ribosomal RNA". The record is from RNAcentral.
AAGUCGUAACAAGGUUUCCGUAGGUGAGUCGGCUCUUAAUUUCUUAAGUUCCUUUCACACCCCCUUUGAUGUCCUUGUGACUAUAUGCUAAUUCGUGAUUUUUUAGGUGAACCUGCGGAAGGAUCAUUAACGAGUAAGGGUCCCCGGGGCCCGACCUCCAACCCUGUGUCUAAUUACCAUGUUGCUUUGGCGGGCCCGUCUCACGACCGCCGGGAGUGUCCCAGGACCUCGGCCCGUGCCCGUCAAUGGCCCGGACAAAUCCUUCCAACGAUGAUUCUGAACGACAAAUUUAAUAGUCAAAACUUUCAACAACGGAUCUCUUGGUUCUG